This 459-nucleotide ribosomal RNA is filed under the name uncultured bacterium. RNAcentral's name for it is "partial 16S ribosomal RNA". It matches the Rfam family "Bacterial small subunit ribosomal RNA", at positions 338 to 795 of the family's 1533-position model. The record is from RNAcentral.
CCUACGGGUGGCAGCAGUGAGGAAUAUUGGUCAAUGGGCGGUAGCCUGAACCAGCCAAGUAGCGUGAAGGAUGAAGGCCCUACGGGUCGUAAACCGCUUUUGCACGGGGAUAACACCCUCCACUUGUGGAGGUCUGCAGGUACCGUGCGAAUAAGGGCCGGCUAAUUCCGUGCCAGCAGCCGCGGUAAUACGGAAGACCCGAGCGUUAUCCGGAUUCAUUGGGAUUAAAGGGAGCGUAGGCGGGUGUUAAAGUCAGCGGUAAAAGCGGGCGGCUCAACCGCGAACCGCAGUUGAAACUGGACGUCUUGAGUACAGAACAGGUAGGCGGAAUUCGUGGUGUAGCGGUGAAAUGCAUAGAUAUCACGAGGAACUCCGAUUGCGAAGGCAGUCUGCUGGGGUGCGACUGACGCUGAGGCUCGAAGGUGUGGGUAUCAAACAGGAUUAGAUAUCCGUGUAGUC